Molecule: long non-coding RNA, 794 nt
Organism: Labrus mixtus (cuckoo wrasse)
Lineage: Eukaryota; Metazoa; Chordata; Actinopteri; Labriformes; Labridae
Exons: 2
Source: RefSeq, a predicted model, not a curated record
CAUGAAUAUUCUGCAGAGUAUCUCGAUAAAAACGAUCUACUCCCCCCCCCUUUAAUACAGUGAGGCCCUGCAGCUUAAAGUCCCUGAAACUAUGAAUUGCCUUCUUUGACCUGGAUUUAGUCUUCUCCUUGUGUCUGUUUGAAAUCUGCACAUUGUGUGUUUUAUUUUUAUUUUAUCUGACCUCAGCUGGUUUGCUUUCACAGGGCUGCACGGUGGUGCCCCCCCCCCCCUUCUGUGUGGAGUUUACAUGUUCUCCCCGUGCAUGCGUCAUGCUUCCUCCCACAGUCCAAAGACAUGCUCGUUAGGUAAUUUGGUGUCCAUAAAUUGCCCGUAGGUGUGAGUGUGAAAGACUGUCUCUCUCUGCAUGUCAGCCUGUGAUUGACUAGCGAGCAACGAGGCCGCCUGUAAGGGGGAAAGAGGGGAAAGCUUUGGGGCCCCCGGAGGUAAACCAAAAACAUGGUCCAUCCUAAACUGAAGCAAUGAUCAACACAUUUUAUUUUAAACCUCAAAACUCAACAUAGCUUCUUAAAGCCUUUUUUAACCCCCCACUUUUUAAAAUUCCAGGGCGUCCCCCACCUCACGCCCAAUGACCCCGAACAGGACAAGCAGUAUAUAUAGUAGAUGGAUGGAUGGUUUGCAUUCCCCUCCUUGGAACUAGCUUUGAAUCUCAGGAACUUCAGAGUCCAAUGAAGGUAAAUUCUAAACAUGUAAUAAUCAUUUUCUAGGUGUGUAUUUCCUUCUUGUUUUUUCCCCUUGGUCAGUGCGGACGAGAUGUCAAAUAAACAGUUAUUUUC